UUGCGGAUUCCAAGCUGCCCGACAUGCAGGCGGGCUGGGAGCAGGCAAUCUCCAACACGAUGGCGGGUCUCAGCGGUCUCAACAUGGUCUAUGAAGCGG
Molecule: non-coding RNA, 99 nt
Filed under: Hoeflea sp. EC-HK425
Lineage: Bacteria; Pseudomonadati; Pseudomonadota; Alphaproteobacteria; Hyphomicrobiales; Rhizobiaceae
Description: PYLIS_3
Rfam family: Pyrrolysine insertion sequence mttB
Source: RNAcentral